Oryctolagus cuniculus (rabbit) is the source of this 511-nucleotide non-coding RNA. The record is from the annotation of a RefSeq genome assembly. Lineage: Eukaryota; Metazoa; Chordata; Mammalia; Lagomorpha; Leporidae.
CACUCAGUGAUCGCACUCAACACAGACGCUCACCAUGGAGACUGGGCUGCGCUGGCUUCUCCUGGUCGCUGUGCUCAAAGGUGUCCAGUGUCAGGAGCAGCUGGUGCAGUCCCGGGGAGGCCUGGUCCAGCCUGGGGGAUCCCUGAAACUCUCCUGCAAAGCCUCUGGGUUCGACCUCAGUAGCUAUGCAAUGUGCUGGGUCCGCCAGGCUCCAGGGAAGGGGCUGGAGUGGAAUGGAGAAAUUAAUUCUAAUGCUGGUAGCACAUGGUAUGCGAGCAGGGUAAAUGGCCGAUUCACCGUCUCCAGAAACAACGUCAAGAGCACGCUGGAUCUGCAAAUGAGCAGUCUGACAGCCGCGGACACGUCCCUCUAUUACUGUGCAAGAGACACAGUGAGGACCCUCAGGCUGAGCCCAGACACAAACCUCCGUGCAGGGGCGCGCGGCUCCACCAGGGGGCGCACAAGACGCACUGAGCAGACUCAGAUCAUUCCCAGAUGCAGUGGGAGGUGA